UACGAAGGGGGCGAGCGUUGUUCGGAUUUACUGGGCGUAAAGGGCGCGUAGGCGGCCCUCCUUGUCGCGUGUGAAAGCCCCGGGCUCAACCUCGAGACGUCGGCGGAAACCCUCUGGCUAGAGUCCGGAAGAGGAGAGUGGAAUUCCUGGUGUAGCGGUGAAAUGCGCAGAUAUCAGGAAGAACACCCGUGGCGAAGGCGGCUCUCUAGUACGGUACUGACGCUGAGACGCGAAAGCGUGGGGAGCGAACAGG
RNAcentral lists this ribosomal RNA (253 nucleotides) under uncultured bacterium. RNAcentral's name for it is "partial 16S ribosomal RNA". It matches the Rfam family "Bacterial small subunit ribosomal RNA", at positions 524 to 776 of the family's 1533-position model. The record is from RNAcentral.